RNAcentral lists this ribosomal RNA (440 nucleotides) under Clostridioides difficile. RNAcentral's name for it is "bacterial LSU rRNA". It matches the Rfam family "Bacterial large subunit ribosomal RNA", at positions 2285 to 2724 of the family's 2925-position model. Lineage: Bacteria; Bacillati; Bacillota; Clostridia; Peptostreptococcales; Peptostreptococcaceae. The record is from RNAcentral.
GCCUCCCAAAAGGUAACGGAGGCGCUCAAAGGUUCUCUCAGUACGGUCGGAAAUCGGACGUAGAGGGUAAAGGAAAAAGAGGGCUUGAUUGCAAGACGUACAGGACGAGCAAAGAUGAACAUCGGAGUGAGUGAUGCGGUGGUUGUGGGUGGAAGGGCCAGGGCUCAGCGGAUAAAAGCUACCCGGGGGAUAACAGGCUUAUCUCCCCCAAGAGUCCACUUCGAAGGUGGGGUUUGGAACGGCGAUGUCGGCUCAUCACAUCCUGGGGCUGUAGUAGGUCCCAAGGGUUGGGCUGUUCGCCCAUUAAAGUGGUACGCGAGCUGGGUUCAGAACGUCGUGAGACAGUUCGGUCCCUAUCCGUCGCAGGCGUAGGAAAUUUGAGAAGACCUGUCCUUAGUACGAGAGGACCGGGAUGGACGUACCUCUGGUGUACCAGUUGU